This 359-nucleotide ribosomal RNA is filed under the name uncultured bacterium. RNAcentral describes it as "bacterial SSU rRNA". It matches the Rfam family "Bacterial small subunit ribosomal RNA", at positions 29 to 377 of the family's 1533-position model. The record is from RNAcentral.
AAUGAACGCUGGCGGCGCGCCUAAUACAUGCAAGUCGAGCGAGAAGACGUAGCAAUACGUUUGUAAAGCGGCGAACGGGUGAGGAAUACAUGGGUAACCUACCCUAGAGUGGGGAAUAACUAGCCGAAAGGUUAGCUAAUACCGCGUACGCUCCUUGGACUUCGGUUCAGGGAGGAAAGCGAUACCGAGGGUAUCGCGCUCUUGGAUGGGCUCAUGUCCUAUCAGCUUGUUGGUGAGGUAACGGCUCACCAAGGCUUCGACGGGUAGCUGGUCUGAGAGGACGAUCAGCCACACUGGGCACUGCGACACGAGCCAGACUCCUACGGGAGGCAGCAGUAAGGAAUAUUGCGCAAUGGGCG